AAAGCUUUAUAUGAUGAUGAAGAACUUGAGGAAGAAAGAAGACUUAUGUAUGUUGCUAUAACUCGUGCAAAAGAAAAACUUUAUUUACUUAAUGCAGGAAGA
Molecule: small RNA, 102 nt
Filed under: Mycoplasma sp. CAG:472
Lineage: Bacteria; Bacillati; Mycoplasmatota; Mollicutes; Mycoplasmatales; Mycoplasmataceae
Description: Clostridioides difficile sRNA included into helicase gene
Rfam family: Clostridioides difficile sRNA included into helicase gene
About the family: This element was identified by RNA deep sequencing of Clostridioides difficile 630 where it is located within gene CD0749 (putative DNA helicase, UvrD/REP type) in the same direction as the gene. A strong transcription start site for this RNA was experimentally confirmed, in the 3' region of gene CD0749. The 3' end of the sRNA has not been confirmed and its length was arbitrarily set to 100nt.
Source: Rfam by way of RNAcentral